AGAGUUUGAUCCUGGCUCAGGAUGAACGCUGGCGGCGUGCCUAAUACAUGCAAGUCGAGCGAACGGACGAGAAGCUUGCUUCUCUGAUGUUAGCGGCGGACGGGUGAGUAACACGUGGAUAACCUACCUAUAAGACUGGGAUAACUUCGGGAAACCGGAGCUAAUACCGGAUAAUAUUUUGAACCGCAUGGUUCAAAAGUGAAAGACGGUCUUGCUGUCACUUAUAGAUGGAUCCGCGCUGCAUUAGCUAGUUGGUAAGGUAACGGCUUACCAAGGCAACGAUGCAUAGCCGACCUGAGAGGGUGAUCGGCCACACUGGAACUGAGACACGGUCCAGACUCCUACGGGAGGCAGCAGUAGGGAAUCUUCCGCAAUGGGCGAAAGCCUGACGGAGCAACGCCGCGUGAGUGAUGAAGGUCUUCGGAUCGUAAAACUCUGUUAUUAGGGAAGAACAUAUGUGUAAGUAACUGUGCACAUCUUGACGGUACCUAAUCAGAAAGCCACGGCUAACUACGUGCCAGCAGCCGCGGUAAUACGUAGGUGGCAAGCGUUAUCCGGAAUUAUUGGGCGUAAAGCGCGCGUAGGCGGUUUUUUAAGUCUGAUGUGAAAGCCCACGGCUCAACCGUGGAGGGUCAUUGGAAACUGGAAAACUUGAGUGCAGAAGAGGAAAGUGGAAUUCCAUGUGUAGCGGUGAAAUGCGCAGAGAUAUGGAGGAACACCAGUGGCGAAGGCGACUUUCUGGUCUGUAACUGACGCUGAUGUGCGAAAGCGUGGGGAUCAAACAGGAUUAGAUACCCUGGUAGUCCACGCCGUAAACGAUGAGUGCUAAGUGUUAGGGGGUUUCCGCCCCUUAGUGCUGCAGCUAACGCAUUAAGCACUCCGCCUGGGGAGUACGACCGCAAGGUUGAAACUCAAAGGAAUUGACGGGGACCCGCACAAGCGGUGGAGCAUGUGGUUUAAUUCGAAGCAACGCGAAGAACCUUACCAAAUCUUGACAUCCUUUGACAACUCUAGAGAUAGAGCCUUCCCCUUCGGAGGACAAAGUGACAGGUGGUGCAUGGUUGUCGUCAGCUCGUGUCGUGAGAUGUUGGGUUAAGUCCCGCAACGAGCGCAACCCUUAAGCUUAGUUGCCAUCAUUAAGUUGGGCACUCUAAGUUGACUGCCGGUGACAAACCGGAGGAAGGUGGGGAUGACGUCAAAUCAUCAUGCCCCUUAUGAUUUGGGCUACACACGUGCUACAAUGGACAAUACAAAGGGCAGCGAAACCGCGAGGUCAAGCAAAUCCCAUAAAGUUGUUCUCAGUUCGGAUUGUAGUCUGCAACUCGACUACAUGAAGCUGGAAUCGCUAGUAAUCGUAGAUCAGCAUGCUACGGUGAAUACGUUCCCGGGUCUUGUACACACCGCCCGUCACACCACGAGAGUUUGUAACACCCGAAGCCGGUGGAGUAACCUUUUAGGAGCUAGCCGUCGAAGGUGGGACAAAUGAUUGGGGUGAAGUCGUAACAAGGUAGCCGUAUCGGAAGGUGCGGCUGGAUCACCU
This 1540-nucleotide ribosomal RNA is filed under the name Staphylococcus aureus. Its description in RNAcentral is "16S ribosomal RNA". It matches the Rfam family "Bacterial small subunit ribosomal RNA". The record is from RNAcentral. Lineage: Bacteria; Bacillati; Bacillota; Bacilli; Caryophanales; Staphylococcaceae.